RNAcentral lists this transfer RNA (66 nucleotides) under Rhabdopleura compacta. RNAcentral's name for it is "transfer RNA-His". Lineage: Eukaryota; Metazoa; Hemichordata; Pterobranchia; Rhabdopleurida; Rhabdopleuridae. The record is from RNAcentral.
UUUUAAGUAGUUUAUGGAUAAAAUAUUAAGUUGUGGUCUUAGAGAAAAAGAUUGCUUUCUUAAAUG